RNAcentral lists this ribosomal RNA (426 nucleotides) under uncultured bacterium. RNAcentral describes it as "partial 16S ribosomal RNA". It matches the Rfam family "Bacterial small subunit ribosomal RNA", at positions 354 to 796 of the family's 1533-position model. The record is from RNAcentral.
GUCGAGAAUUUUGGGCAAUGGACGAAAGUCUGACCCAGCAAUGCCGCGUGCGGGAUGAAGGUCUUCGGAUUGUAAACCGCUGUCGAGGGGGACGAAAUAUGACGGUACCCCUGGAGGAAGCCACGGCUAACUACGUGCCAGCAGCCGCGGUAAUACGUAGGUGGCGAGCGGUGUUCGGAUUUAUUGGGCGUAAAGGGUCCGCAGGGGGUUGAUUAAGUCUGACGUGAAAUCUCUGAGCUCAACUCAGAAAUUGCGUUGGAGACUGGUUGACUAGAGUGGUGGAGAGGUAAUUGGAAUUCCAGGUGUAGCGGUGGAAUGCGUAGAUAUCUGGAAGAACAUCGAAAGCGAAGGCAGAUUACUGGACAACAACUGACCCUCAGGGACGAAAGCAUGGGGAGCAAACAGGAUUAGAAACCCCAGUAGUCC